This 253-nucleotide ribosomal RNA is filed under the name uncultured bacterium. Its description in RNAcentral is "partial 16S ribosomal RNA". It matches the Rfam family "Bacterial small subunit ribosomal RNA", at positions 524 to 776 of the family's 1533-position model. The record is from RNAcentral.
UACGUAGGGCGCAAGCGUUGUCCGGAAUUAUUGGGCGUAAAGAGCUUGUAGGCGGUUUGUCGCGUCUGCUGUGAAAACCUAAGGCUCAACCUUGGGCUUGCAGUGGGUACGGGCAGACUAGAGUGCGGUAGGGGUGACUGGAAUUCCUGGUGUAGCGGUGGAAUGCGCAGAUAUCAGGAGGAACACCGAUGGCGAAGGCAGGUCACUGGGCCGCAACUGACGCUGAGGAGCGAAAGCAUGGGGAGCGAACAGG